AUAUAUUAUUAUAAAGUAUAUAGCUUAUACAUGUGUAGUUAUAUUUUUUAACAUAAAUACAUACUUUUAAUAAUAACGUAAUAUAUGCCAUAGUAUUUAUUUUUUUUAAAUUUUAUGUACUUAUAUUUGUGGUAUCUAAAAGUAACGGAAAUGAGAAUACUAGUAUGAAACAAUAGUCGAUUUGUUAAUUAUGAUAUGUAUCAUAACAUUUUGAUUUAUUUCAUCUUUAAAAAUACGUUAAAGUAAUAUAGCAAACUUAAUUAUUCGUUCACAUGAUAACAUAAAAAUAUAAUAUAUGUAUUAUUUUUAUAUUUAAGUUAGAUAUUAGGGUAUGUCUAAUCAAAUUCACUAUAAAUCUUAUCUUUACAUCUACGAAGAUUACAAAAUAAAAUGCUACUAUCGAGAAUUUUUGAUAGACAAUAGAAGUUCUCUUUCGAUAUAACAAUUGAAAUAUUACUCAAAUAUCACUUACAUUUAACCUUACGUGCUACGAAUACUUAAUUAAUAACGAAAAAAAGUUGCUUUACCCUUGCUAUUAAACGAUGAUCGAGCAUAUAUGUAAAUUGUUCUCAAAAAGAGAAACAAAGUUUUCUUUUAUAGUUGCAGAGUCAUCGACUUUCAAAAACAUAUGGACAACCUGGUGCGGUAUUAACAAAUACACUCCAAAAUUUGAUCUUUACAUGGACAGCAUGGCUGCAAUGACCGCUGAAAAAAUGAGGCAUGCUGGAUCUAAAUAUUGGUGGAUAAUACAUCCAUUUAGUUACGCUAGACAAUUUACAGAUUAAUAUGGGAUACCUUGAUGGUGGCAAUAUAUUUGCUUGCUUUUUUUACAAUCCCUUUUAUGGUUUGUUUUGUUAUAAUGGAUUACGAAAUAAUUCGUCUGGAUAUAGUAAAUAUUCCAAUUUAUGCGAUCUGCUGGUUAGAUAUAAUAUUUAACUUUAUCACGGGAUAUUAUGACGAAAAAACUACUUCUAUUGAGUUGAAACCUAUCAAGAUACUUAUGUGAGACGUCAUAUUUAGUAUUUCAUGAACUCUUUCUGUUUAUUUAAUUGUUUUUUAAAAUUAAUUUAUUCUCAAUGUUAAAUAUUUUUUGUAGGCUCUAUUUGAAAAGAUUUCUUGUGCCAGAUAUGCUGUCAUCUUUUCCGUAUGAUCAUAUAACACUGCGAUGGCGAAGAUUACCAGGAAAUAAUCCUUAUUAUGUUGUUAUUUUAAUUAAUAUC
This 1220-nucleotide unclassified non-coding RNA is filed under the name Monomorium pharaonis (pharaoh ant). Its description in RNAcentral is "potassium/sodium hyperpolarization-activated cyclic nucleotide-gated channel 1, transcript variant X1". The record is from RNAcentral. Lineage: Eukaryota; Metazoa; Arthropoda; Insecta; Hymenoptera; Formicidae.